GCUCAGGACGAACGCUGGCGGCGUGCCUAACACAUGCAAGUCGAACGAAGCAAUUAAAGGAAGUUUUCGGAUGGAAUUUGAUUGACUGAGUGGCGGACGGGUGAGUAACGCGUGGAUAACCUGCCUCACACUGGGGGAUAACAGUUAGAAAUGACUGCUAAUACCGCAUAAGCGCACAGUACCGCAUGGUACGGUGUGAAAAACUCCGGUGGUGUGAGAUGGAUCCGCGUCUGAUUAGCCAGUUGGCGGGGUAACGGCCCACCAAAGCGACGAUCAGUAGCCGACCUGAGAGGGUGACCGGCCACAUUGGGACUGAGACACGGCCCAAACUCCUACGGGAGGCAGCAGUA
Molecule: ribosomal RNA, 350 nt
Filed under: uncultured bacterium
Lineage: Bacteria
Description: bacterial SSU rRNA
Rfam family: Bacterial small subunit ribosomal RNA
Source: RNAcentral